ACUUCGGGAAACCGGAGCUAAUACCGGAUAAUAUAUUGAACCGCAUGGUUCAAUAGUGAAAGAAGGUUUUGCUGUCACUUAUAGAUGGAUCCGCGCCGCAUUAGCUAGUUGGUAAGGUAACGGCUUACCAAGGCAACGAUGCGUAGCCGACCUGAGAGGGUGAUCGGCCACACUGGAACUGAGACACGGUCCAG
This 194-nucleotide ribosomal RNA is filed under the name uncultured Staphylococcus sp. RNAcentral describes it as "partial 16S ribosomal RNA". It matches the Rfam family "Bacterial small subunit ribosomal RNA", at positions 146 to 334 of the family's 1533-position model. The record is from RNAcentral. Lineage: Bacteria; Bacillati; Bacillota; Bacilli; Caryophanales; Staphylococcaceae.